UUCGACCCUCACUUAGAAAACCUGUCAAUGCACGAAUGAAUAGUUUUUACAUUUACGAAAUCGAUUUCGUUUUUGUCAGUACAAUUAAUACCACUUCGUCUAAUUUCUACGCGACGCGAAAAGGUCGCGAUCAGGUCGCGGAAUAAUUCACGAAUUAACGCAGAGAACGAAAACGAGCGUCGAGUAGUCGCGAGGAACGAUAUUCGACGGAAGUUUGCAUCUAACGGGGAACGCGGAAUCGAGAGGGAACAAAUUGCCGCGACAACGAGAAAUUUAUAGAGAUAAACUUCCCCUUCGAUGCUGAAGUUUGAACCGAGUUAGCACCGCGACGUGUGCGGGAAACUGAUAAGCUCCCGCAGCACCGAAAGAGACGAUGAUCUAUCUGGCUUCUAAAUUCACGCGUGACGUUGGGCAGUGAUUGCUGUUAACCCCUUGACGCGCCAAACACCAGGAACACGGUUGAUGUCGAGUUUUGAGCUAGCAGCUAAUAGAGGUAUAUGCUAAACCUAAAAUAUGUCAGUAUCUUGAAACACACAAUGGAAGAAUCCAUACAGUCGUGGUUCGGUUUUCGUAAGUUCGAGUCAGGGCCUCUAGCAGGACGCCAAGGGGUUAAUCGUUGCUCGCAAUUGUCGGAUCAAAUGGUAAUUGUACGCUACAUUCGUAAUUCGCAAUGGUGAAUCGGUUGUUCGCGAUCAUUCAGAACGAAACGCUCAUCGUAGAACACGCAUACCCGGAAUGGAUCGCAACGCGCGGCUCUAGGACUCUGUACGCGAUUAAAUGGUUCGCCUAACGCGGCGGGCUUCCUUUAGAAAUUUGCUGGUGAUUGUAUCGUUAACGAAUUGGAUCAUCGACAAACGGUCAACGCGCGCUCGUUCGUACUUUAGGGAUAGGAAAGAAAGAAAACGAAGCCAAGAAGGUAUACGUCGCGACGUACGAAUACGUAUAAAAAUAGAAAGAAGAUUGGGUAUAUGUAUAUCUUUAGAUGAGCGGCAAUACGAGUGCACGUUCGGUAUAGUUGGCAGGCUGAGUUAGGAAAGGCACAAAUUCGAGUGCUAACAUCUAAGUGGAUAAGGCGCCUUCCUGCAUCGUCAGGAAGACAUUCGUAUUCUCGAAUCGUUGCGAUCGCACGAUUAAGAGAGACAGACCUGUUCGGAAUCGCCCGAAUAUUCCGAGACAGAGAUGGGCAAAAUUUUAUUCGAAUAGGUAAACGACAUGCCUGAACGUUGCACAAACGAGCAUAGGACCUUGUAUUCAUUCGAUGUGAACCAUGAAGUUGUUCGUGUACCGUUGGGGAAUCUUGGGUACCUUCGUGGACUCGAGAGACUCCAAUCGACGAAAAGAAUUCGUGUUGAAACAAUUCUCAGUGCAAAGGGGCUAAUAAAUUAAUUCCGCGAUUCAGUAUAUAUACUGAACGAAUCACAGAUCAAAUGUUCGUGUGAAAUUAUAUAUAUAGAUGGGAAUUCUGCCCACCUCUGGCGUUCGUAAAUCGCAGGAAGAUCUCGCUGCGCGUGUCCUUUGACCUCUGACCAAAGAGAUUACAUAAAUAGAGUAGGAUAGCCGAGUGUAACGCGAAUAGCAAGAGAAGAAAGAUCGAGUGCACGUUUGUACCCUAACGAUGGAUGCACAGAUACAUUAAGAAACAUUGGUAGAAGAACAUACGAAUUGAGGAGAAGUGCCACCCCAAUAAACUCUUUGGUCAGCAUCAAAUGCCCCUUGAUUCCUACAACCUCUCCCAUCAAGUCUUAAGAUUCUGGACACGCAAACUUAGAAACAGAGUAACGUCUCUUUCUUCCUCUUACAGAAGCUUCUACGAGUCCUGUGACUCCUCUGCUCUAUCUAAAUCACCUCUUUUCAGCGCCUUCGUGUCACUGUAGGGAUGCACGUACGUCGUUGGGAUAUAGUUUCGUUCGUUCGCGAAACCAACAACGGUAUUAUCGGACCUUACACCUCGGCGACACGCCACAGAAUAACGGAGCCAAAGGUCGUUUCUCUUAUCUUUUUUCUCGUCUCCAAACGCACGUCCCGCGAACGAUCCGGUUGAGCGUCGGAGGGCGGACAUUUUCGACGCGCGAUUCCUUCGACAAAUGCGAUUAGGCGUGCGUGUUGGGGAGCGCAUUAGGUCCCGGCAGCAUACAUUUGGUCGCAUGUUAAGUUUCGCGCGUCUCUAUGGCCGUUUGCUUGUCGGAACCCGAGCGAAGCCAAGUUUUAAUCGGUUCACGUCCUGUAGCAUAGAAUAACACACACAACCGGUAUAAAUUAAUGUGAGAUUGGAAUUAAGCGAUGCACCAAUGGCUAUGCUGUGUCUUUUUUUCGGGAGUUGACAGAGAGAGAGAGAGAGACAGAGACAGAGAGAGAGAGAGUGUGUGAGAGAAAGAGAGAGAGAAAAAAGAUUUUUUUCUUUUCGGUUUAAUCCGCCCUGUAUCGACGAUGAGUACAGUGACCAUAUCGUGAAAGUACACAACGUGUUUUUUUUUCCUUUUUCUUGUUUUUCUUUUUUGUUGCAAUUGUGAACACGGGUUUACUCUCGUUAUUCUGUGGCCUUGCGUCCUCGGUUCCCAUUUAUUUGUUUAUCUUUCUUUUUUUUUUUUUUUUUUUCGUUACUUGUAUACCGUUCCGCUUGUUCUCUCUACGCGUCCAACGCAAUCACGCGUCUCGUCGCUUGUACGAUUACCGUAAUGCGGCAAGAUCAAAGUCCCAAUGUUAAAAUAGAUAUACGUGUACGUAUAUAGAGUAGGUAAUAAAAAUCAAGGAUAUGCCUCGCUACAGUCAAGUCAAAAAAGGGAUGCACAAUGAGUAUGCGAGGUGGCCCGAACUCAGCCAAGCAGUAAUCACUUUCGUCGAUGGAUCCGUAGGGCUCUUAUUGUUAACGAUUAAUUAUCGAGCGUUUCAACGUUAAGAGAUCAUCGCACGACGGAGAACGUAUGGGAUUACGGAACGGAGAUGGGCGAAAUUAUAGAUGAAUGUCUCGAGUGAAAGAUUCAACGAGAUGCAGUCUCUGUUGCAACCAUUUCCGCUAGCCGAAUAAUUAUAUAAUAUAUGUAUGUUUGAUAUUGAGGCAAGAGGGGAAAAAUAACUAUUUUUCUGAGAUAUAAAUGAUAGAAAAGUAGAGCUUGGAUACUUGUUCAAUUAAAUUGCUAUGUCGAAACAAUUACGAUAGCAUGAAAGCACGUGGGUAAUUUUGUUAAAUAUCCAAAGUAGUGGUUAUGGCAUAUUAGAGAAUGGUAUUCAGACACCACAACCUUCCCUUAGGACAUUUAAAAUACUAGCCACGUGGUUUCAUCUUUCUGCCCCUUGGUUUCAAUCAAUUGCGUCAAUUCUUGUAUGUUAAUCCUACAUAUACAACUGGUCCCUUAAGAGGACAUUAAAUGCUUCCAACAGACUAUGCUUCUCUCUCGCAUGGGAUUUGCGAUCCUACGAGCAAUCAUCUACGGAAUAAAAGGCAAACUCUGGUCGAAUAAAAAUUAGGAUUCCAAUCGUGACACGUUACACCUCGCGUUGCGCGAACGAAAAGAUUUACUCGAGUAAAUAAACGAACGAAUAAAAGCAUCGUCGGUGAAUCGCUGUUGCGAUUUUAUUCGUCGUUUCGAAUGUAAUUUUGCCCAUCUCUGUGGAACAUGAAUGAGCGAAAAUGUACGUUAUUUUCUACGUCUUCUUCGACAACGAAUCGUACUCCUGUAGGACAGAGACCAUACAACGUUUCUUUUCCUUUUUAUUUUAUCUACGAUGAAACGAACUAAAAGGGGUUUACAAGGCUAGGGGUGAGGGGGUUUGGGAGGCAAUAUGAAACCCUUCGAGCAAACGUUCGCUGGACAAACAAAGUACAGAAGAAGAUGAAGUAAAAAAAAAAAAAAAAAAAUAAUGG
Molecule: long non-coding RNA, 3862 nt
Organism: Hylaeus anthracinus
Lineage: Eukaryota; Metazoa; Arthropoda; Insecta; Hymenoptera; Colletidae
Exons: 2
Source: RefSeq, a predicted model, not a curated record